Molecule: long non-coding RNA, 339 nt
Organism: Helianthus annuus (common sunflower)
Lineage: Eukaryota; Viridiplantae; Streptophyta; Magnoliopsida; Asterales; Asteraceae
Exons: 3
Source: RefSeq, a predicted model, not a curated record
CGUGAGAAGCCAGGAGGGGGAUUCCUUCCCUCACAAAACCCUAAAUCACUAGAUUCCAUCAAUUGAAAGCCAGAUUAAUGGAAAAUCGAAUGCAUGAGCUAAGAAUCCUGAUUAUCUAAGUGUUCUUGAUCUCAAGAAAUAAGAAAGAAGAAGGAACAAGUCACUCAAAAGCACAAGGAGCUCAGGAUCACGGUAAAUCACAUGCUUGAUUGCGGCGCGCUCGAACCGAACACACACACUAUGUCGCCUCGUGCGCUUCCGGUUCAAGAUAUCUUUUGAAAUGGGUCAAAAUCAUUUUGUGUAGUAAAUGUGAAACUAGUAUUUAGGAUGAUCGUAGUA